UCCACAGUAGCUCAGUGGUAGAGCUAUCGGCUGUUAACCGAUCGGUCGUAGGUUCGAACUAUAUUCUAUCAUGGAG
This 76-nucleotide transfer RNA is filed under the name Staphylococcus epidermidis. RNAcentral's name for it is "tRNA-Asn". The stretch from base 7 to 70 matches the Rfam family "tRNA", at positions 7 to 64 of the family's 71-position model. From Rfam's summary of the family: Transfer RNA (tRNA) molecules are approximately 80 nucleotides in length. Their secondary structure includes four short double-helical elements and three loops (D, anti-codon, and T loops). Further hydrogen bonds mediate the characteristic L-shaped molecular structure. tRNAs have two regions of fundamental functional importance: the anti-codon, which is responsible for specific mRNA codon recognition, and the 3' end, to which the tRNAs corresponding amino acid is attached (by aminoacyl-tRNA synthetases). tRNAs cope with the degeneracy of the genetic code in two manners: having more than one tRNA (with a specific anti-codon) for a particular amino acid; and 'wobble' base-pairing, i.e. permitting non-standard base-pairing at the 3rd anti-codon position. Lineage: Bacteria; Bacillati; Bacillota; Bacilli; Caryophanales; Staphylococcaceae. The record is from RNAcentral.